RNAcentral lists this ribosomal RNA (1489 nucleotides) under Lactiplantibacillus pentosus. RNAcentral's name for it is "bacterial SSU rRNA". It matches the Rfam family "Bacterial small subunit ribosomal RNA". The record is from RNAcentral. Lineage: Bacteria; Bacillati; Bacillota; Bacilli; Lactobacillales; Lactobacillaceae.
GACGAACGCUGGCGGCGUGCCUAAUACAUGCAAGUCGAACGAACUCUGGUAUUGAUUGGUGCUUGCAUCAUGAUUUACAUUUGAGUGAGUGGCGAACUGGUGAGUAACACGUGGGAAACCUGCCCAGAAGCGGGGGAUAACACCUGGAAACAGAUGCUAAUACCGCAUAACAACUUGGACCGCAUGGUCCGAGUUUGAAAGAUGGCUUCGGCUAUCACUUUUGGAUGGUCCCGCGGCGUAUUAGCUAGAUGGUGGGGUAACGGCUCACCAUGGCAAUGAUACGUAGCCGACCUGAGAGGGUAAUCGGCCACAUUGGGACUGAGACACGGCCCAAACUCCUACGGGAGGCAGCAGUAGGGAAUCUUCCACAAUGGACGAAAGUCUGAUGGAGCAACGCCGCGUGAGUGAAGAAGGGUUUCGGCUCGUAAAACUCUGUUGUUAAAGAAGAACAUAUCUGAGAGUAACUGUUCAGGUAUUGACGGUAUUUAACCAGAAAGCCACGGCUAACUACGUGCCAGCAGCCGCGGUAAUACGUAGGUGGCAAGCGUUGUCCGGAUUUAUUGGGCGUAAAGCGAGCGCAGGCGGUUUUUUAAGUCUGAUGUGAAAGCCUUCGGCUCAACCGAAGAAGUGCAUCGGAAACUGGGAAACUUGAGUGCAGAAGAGGACAGUGGAACUCCAUGUGUAGCGGUGAAAUGCGUAGAUAUAUGGAAGAACACCAGUGGCGAAGGCGGCUGUCUGGUCUGUAACUGACGCUGAGGCUCGAAAGUAUGGGUAGCAAACAGGAUUAGAUACCCUGGUAGUCCAUACCGUAAACGAUGAAUGCUAAGUGUUGGAGGGUUUCCGCCCUUCAGUGCUGCAGCUAACGCAUUAAGCAUUCCGCCUGGGGAGUACGGCCGCAAGGCUGAAACUCAAAGGAAUUGACGGGGGCCCGCACAAGCGGUGGAGCAUGUGGUUUAAUUCGAAGCUACGCGAAGAACCUUACCAGGUCUUGACAUACUAUGCAAAUCUAAGAGAUUAGACGUUCCCUUCGGGGACAUGGAUACAGGUGGUGCAUGGUUGUCGUCAGCUCGUGUCGUGAGAUGUUGGGUUAAGUCCCGCAACGAGCGCAACCCUUAUUAUCAGUUGCCAGCAUUAAGUUGGGCACUCUGGUGAGACUGCCGGUGACAAACCGGAGGAAGGUGGGGAUGACGUCAAAUCAUCAUGCCCCUUAUGACCUGGGCUACACACGUGCUACAAUGGAUGGUACAACGAGUUGCGAACUCGCGAGAGUAAGCUAACCUCUUAAAGCCAUUCUCAGUUCGGAUUGUAGGCUGCAACUCGCCUACAUGAAGUCGGAAUCGCUAGUAAUCGCGGAUCAGCAUGCCGCGGUGAAUACGUUCCCGGGCCUUGUACACACCGCCCGUCACACCAUGAGAGUUUGUAACACCCAAAGUCGGUGGGGUAACCUUUUAGGAACCAGCCGCCUAAGGUGGGACAGAUGAUUAGGGUG